RNAcentral lists this unclassified non-coding RNA (453 nucleotides) under Hevea brasiliensis (rubber tree). Lineage: Eukaryota; Viridiplantae; Streptophyta; Magnoliopsida; Malpighiales; Euphorbiaceae. The record is from RNAcentral.
GGAGAGUUUACUUGCAUGAUGAACAUGGGACAACGGCAGAAGCGGACAGCCAUAUGAUUUCCAAGGGGCUCAAUAAAUCUACUCGGCAGAAGAAGAUUGAUGCCUAUGCUGCCAUGAUGGUACUAGAGAGAUAUUUUUUCAUGUCAGGCGAGGGAACCGAGCUUGUAGUGCCUAAGAGUCUAGUCUUACAAGAUAAGCUUAUUGAGGGACCACCUACAGACCCAGACUUUAAGGAUCCCCCCCUGUGGAGUUGGAUUUGAGGAAGGAAAGAAGUUGAUCCAGCGGGGGGCCUUUGGAACCGGCAGCGAUAAGGCUGAGAAGGACAUGGAUUGACAAGGGCGAGAGGACAACGUUGGAGGCCUUGGCUUCGUUUUGGAGAAGGUGCUUGGUAAUGGCUAAGGCGACGUCGCCAUGGCUUCUGAUAGUUUCUCUGAUGUCCAUUUUCCGGCAGCC